This is a long non-coding RNA of Oncorhynchus tshawytscha (Chinook salmon), 1277 nucleotides long. NCBI's taxonomy places the organism in Eukaryota, Metazoa, Chordata, Actinopteri, Salmoniformes, Salmonidae. The record is from Ensembl.
UGGGGCAGACAGACACACAGACAAAAGAAGACACUUCCAAGGGAUGGGUGGACGACAGUGUGACGGGCGGAGGACAGUGUGAUGGGUGGACGACAGUGUGACGGGCGGAGGACAGUGUGACGGGCGGAGGACAGUGUAAUGGGUGGACGACAGUGUGACGGGCGGAGGACAGUGUGACGGGCGGAGGACAGUGUGAUGGGCGGAGGACAGUGUGAUGGGUGGAGGACAGUGUGAUGUGCAGAGGACAGUGUGAUGGGUGGAGGACAGUGUGAUGGGCGGAGGACAGUGUGAUGGGUGGAGGACAGUGUGAUGGGCGGAGGACAGUGUGAUGGGUGGAGGACAGUGUGAUGGGUGGAGGACAGUGUGCUGGGUGGAGGACAUUGGGAUGGGUGGAGGACAGUGUGAUAGGUGGAGGACAGUGUGAUGGGCAGAGGACAGUAUGAUGAGUGGAGGACAGUGUGAUGGGUGGAGGACACUGUGUUGGGCAGAGGACAGUGUGAUGGGCGGAGGACACUGUGAUGGGCGGAGGACAGUGUGAUGGGCGGAGGACAGUGUGAUGAGUGGAGGACAGUGUGAUAGGUGGAGGACAGUGUGAUGGGUGGAGGACAGUGUGAUAGGCGGAGGACAGUGAGAUGGGCGGAGGACAGUGUGAUGGGUGGAGGACAGUGUGAUGGGUGGAGGACAGUGUGAUGGGUGGAGGACAGUGUGAUGGGCGGAGGACAGUGUGAUGGGUGGAGGACAGUGUGAUGGGUGGAGGACACUGUGAUGAGUGGAGGACAGUGUGAUGAGUGGAGGACAGUGUGAUGGGUGGAGGACAGUGUGAUGGGUGGAGGACAGUGGGAGGCUGGGAACAGUGGCAGGCAGCAGGGAACAUUCAGAGGCAGGCAGGUUCAGGAGCUAACCCUUAUUCUUUUCAAUUAUUCACAAACCCUGAAAAAGAACCUCCAUCUCCUUUGCUCCCCCUCCCUAGACACACGCGCUUGCAAACAUACACACACGCUCACACACGCACACACACGCACACACACCCACACACCCACACACACACACACACACACACACACACACGCUCACACACGCACACACACGCACACACACCCACACACCCACACACACACACACACACACACACACAGACAAGGGCCCUUAAAAUACCUAGUCUAAAAAUAGCAGAUGGGAAGCGGGAGCUUAGCUAUUAUUAUUGCACACACGUCCUGCCUAGUCCCACCAAGGAAAGACAAGAGACUAAUGAUUUUCAUGGUGCAAGCAAUUAAAAA